AUUGAACGCUGGCGGCAUGCUUUACACAUGCAAGUCGAACGGUAACAGGCCUUCGGUUGCUGACGAGUGGCGAACGGGUGCGUAAUGCAUCGGAACGUGCCCAGAGGCGGGGGAUAACGCAGCGAAAGCUGUGCUAAUACCUCAUGUGAUCUGAGGAUGAAAGCGGGGGACCAGGCAGCAAUGUUUGGCCUCGCGCCUUUGGAGCGGCCGAUGUCAGAUUAGGUAGUUGGUGGGGUAAAGGCCUACCAAGCCGACGAUCUGUAGCUGGUCUGAGAGGACGACCAGCCACACUGGGACUGAGACACGGCCCAGACUCCUACGGGAGGCAGCAGUGGGGAAUUUUGGACAAUGGGCGCAAGCCUGAUCCAGCAAUGCCGCGUGCGGGAAGAAGGCCUUCGGGUUGUAAAACGCUUUUGUACGGAACGAAAAGGCUCUGGCUAAUACCUGGGGCUGAUGACGGUACCGUAAGAAUAAGCACCGGCUAACUACGUG
RNAcentral lists this ribosomal RNA (492 nucleotides) under uncultured bacterium. RNAcentral describes it as "partial 16S ribosomal RNA". It matches the Rfam family "Bacterial small subunit ribosomal RNA", at positions 30 to 507 of the family's 1533-position model. The record is from RNAcentral.